CAGUAGCCGCGGGAAUACGAAGGGUGCAAGCGUUAAUCGGAAUUACUGGGCGUAAAGCAUGCGUAGGCGGUGAGUUAAGUCUGCUGUGAAAUCCCCGGGCUCAACCUGGGAAUGGCAGUGGAUACUGGCUCGCUAGAGUGUGUCAGAGGAUGGUGGAAUUCCCGGUGUAGCGGUGAAAUGCGUAGAGAUCAGGAGGAACAUCAGUGGCGAAGGCGGCCAUCUGGGACAACACUGACGCUGAGGCACGAAAGCGUGGGGAGCAAACAGGAUUAGAUACCCGUGUAGUCCCUGUCUCUUAUAC
This 301-nucleotide ribosomal RNA is filed under the name uncultured bacterium. RNAcentral describes it as "partial 16S ribosomal RNA". It matches the Rfam family "Bacterial small subunit ribosomal RNA", at positions 509 to 807 of the family's 1533-position model. The record is from RNAcentral.